AGUAACCAUGUGGAUGUGCUGCUGAAGCGUUUCCUCAAGCUCGCUGGGGUGGGAGGAGAGGAGGAGGAGGAGGUGGUGGUGGAGGAGGAGGAGGCAGGGGGUGGAGAGAGAGAAAGCGCACGCCGAGAGGAGGUGUGGGUGUUCCGCUUCCAUCCUAACGGAACGAGCUCCCUCUUCGCGGACAUGGGAUUACCCAGCGGCUGCUAACCCCUCUCCUCGCCCUGCUCCCCCAAACCGGCGUGGCUCCCCGGGCACCAAGGAGCUGACUAAAGAGGAGCAGGAUUUGCACCCCUCGCUGGUCUUGUUUUGGCAACAGAGUGCCUGACCCGGGUCAGGAUUUUCAAGAAAGACAUGUCUGACAAAAUGUCUAGCUUCCUACAUAUUGGAGACAUUUGUUCUCUGUACGCGGAGGGAUCGACAAAUGGAUUUAUUAGCACCUUGGGCCUGGUUGAUGAUCGUUGUGUUGUACAGCCAGAAACCGGAGACCUUAACAAUCCACCUAAGAAAUUCAGAGACUGCCUCUUUAAGCUAUGUCCCAUGAACCGCUACUCUGCCCAAAAGCAGUUCUGGAAAGCCGCUAAGCCUGGGGCCAACAGCACAACAGACGCAGUGCUACUCAACAAACUGCACCACGCUGCAGACUUGGAAAAGAAGCAGAAUGAGACAGAAAACAGGAAAUUGCUGGGGACCGUAAUCCAGUAUGGCAAUGUGAUCCAGCUCCUGCAUUUGAAAAGUAAUAAAUACCUAACAGUGAAUAAGAGGCUUCCUGCUCUGUUGGAGAAGAAUGCCAUGAGAGUCACAUUGGACGAGGCUGGAAAUGAAGGGUCCUGGUUUUAUAUUCAGCCAUUCUACAAGCUGCGAUCCAUUGGAGACAGCGUGGUCAUAGGUGACAAGGUUGUUCUGAACCCCGUCAAUGCUGGUCAGCCCCUACAUGCUAGCAGCCAUCAACUGGUAGAUAACCCAGGCUGCAAUGAGGUCAAUUCCGUCAACUGCAAUACAAGCUGGAAAAUAGUCCUUUUCAUGAAAUGGAGUGAUAACAAAGAUGACAUAUUAAAGGGGGGUGACGUGGUGAGGCUGUUUCAUGCUGAGCAGGAGAAGUUUCUCACCUGUGACGAACACAGGAAGAAGCAGCAUGUCUUCCUGAGAACCACGGGCCGGCAGUCGGCCACAUCUGCCACCAGUUCAAAAGCCUUGUGGGAGGUGGAGGUAAGGGUAAGGUGGAGAAAGGGCUCAUGGGUUUAUAGGAUAUAAACCUAUAUAUAGGCUCUCUCUAUAUAUAUUCUACAAAUAUACAUACAUACAUAUACCUAUAUAUGUCUAUACACCUAUAUACACACACCUACACACACACACACACACACACACACACACAGAAUACAUGUGUGUGUAUAUAUAUAAGUCACAAACAGGUACUUAUACCCACCGUGUUCCAAAAAUGGGUUGUGGAUGGCUUAGUGAAGUAAGUGCAUCAUGGCAUAUCAUGGUGCUGGAUAUUUGUGCAAAG
This 1504-nucleotide small RNA is filed under the name Pongo abelii (Sumatran orangutan). RNAcentral's name for it is "retained intron". Lineage: Eukaryota; Metazoa; Chordata; Mammalia; Primates; Hominidae. The record is from RNAcentral.